CCUACGGGAGGCAGCAGUGAGGAAUAUUGGUCAAUGGCCGCAGGGCUGAACCAGCCAAGUCGCGUGAGGGAUGACGGUCCUAUGGAUUGUAAACCUCUUUUGUCAGGGAGCAAAGGGCGCCACGUGUGGCGCUUUGCGAGUACCUGAAGAAAAAGCAUCGGCUAACUCCGUGCCAGCAGCCGCGGUAAUACGGAGGAUGCGAGCGUUAUCCGGAUUUAUUGGGUUUAAAGGGUGCGCAGGCGGAAUGUCAAGUCAGCGGUAAAAUUUCGGGGCUCAACCCCGUCGUGCCGUUGAAACUGGCGUUCUUGAGUGAGCGAGAAGUAUGCGGAAUGCGUGGUGUAGCGGUGAAAUGCAUAGAUAUCACGCAGAACUCCGAUUGCGAAGGCAGCAUACCGGCGCUCAACUGACGCUCAUGCACGAAAGCGUGGGUAUCGAACAGGAUUAGAUACCCGGGUUC
This 457-nucleotide ribosomal RNA is filed under the name uncultured bacterium. RNAcentral describes it as "partial 16S ribosomal RNA". It matches the Rfam family "Bacterial small subunit ribosomal RNA", at positions 338 to 793 of the family's 1533-position model. The record is from RNAcentral.